GUGAAGAAAAAGAUGUCACAAAGCUGAUGGAAAAUGGGUCGGCACUCGGCUGUAUUUCAACACGGAGGACGUCUGGCAGCAGCAAAAAGAAAUUCAAUUGACGAUACUCAACUGUCGAAGUGAAGAAGAAGUUGUCACAAAGCUGAUGGAAAAUGUGUCGGCACUUGGCUGUAUUUCAACACGAAGGACGUCUGGCAGCAGCAAAAAGAAAUUCAACUGACGAUAAUCAAUUGUUGGAGUGAAGAAGAAGAUGUCACAAAGCUGAUGGGAAAUGUGUCGGCACUCGUCUUCGUUUCAACCCGGAGGAAGAUUGGCAGCAUCAAUAAGAAGCUCAUCUUUAUGUCAACUGUUGAAAGGAUUUGUUUGCAUUAUAUUAUAAGUUUAAAUUACAUUUAAUCUGCAUAUUAGUUGAAGUUUUAUAGGAACAGAACAUUUAACUGGAUCAUGGACUAUCCACCGACGAAGGAAGAAUUUGUCAUUGAUCUGAUGGAAAAUGUGUCGGCACUCGGCUUCGUUUCAACCAGGAUGAAGAUUUGCAGCAUCAAAAAGAAAUUUAACUGACGAUAAUCAACUG
Rhopalosiphum padi (bird cherry-oat aphid) is the source of this 574-nucleotide long non-coding RNA. RefSeq lists it as uncharacterized. The transcript has 3 exons. The record is from RefSeq and is a predicted model, not a curated record. Lineage: Eukaryota; Metazoa; Arthropoda; Insecta; Hemiptera; Aphididae.